RNAcentral lists this transfer RNA (76 nucleotides) under Pseudomonadales bacterium. RNAcentral describes it as "tRNA-Lys". It matches the Rfam family "tRNA". From Rfam's summary of the family: Transfer RNA (tRNA) molecules are approximately 80 nucleotides in length. Their secondary structure includes four short double-helical elements and three loops (D, anti-codon, and T loops). The record is from RNAcentral. Lineage: Bacteria; Pseudomonadati; Pseudomonadota; Gammaproteobacteria; Pseudomonadales.
GGGUCGUUAGCUCAGUUGGUAGAGCACCGGGCUUUUAAUCCGUUGGUCCAGGGUUCGAAUCCCUGACGACCCACCA